ACCAGAGCUCUCGGAGAUCAACAAAGGUGCCGCUUUUGAAUGUGAAAGUUUUUUCAAGACUUUUCUAUUUCUUGGUUUGAAUCGUGUGCCUGUAGGGACACAUGCUACCUGCUUACUGGACAGUGACUACUUAGGAUAAGGACUCAGGCAAACACACAAGUGGAGAAGAUAAAUAGUAAUUUGGAACCAAAACUCAGGACGUCCCAGGAGAGGCUAGAUUAGGAAUUCUUUGAUUUGGGAUCACGAAAAUGAAGUAUCCAUAUUUUAACAGAAUGAUUAGUGGCAGAGGAAUCAUCUAAGAAAACUGAGAAGACUCUGCCAGAGUGAUGGGAAGAAAACUAGAUGAGAAAGCACCAUUCUGGAAGACAUGCUCCCAUGAACCAUGGAGAGAAGAGGAGAGGGAAGAAGUUAUUUGUGAUGUCAUUUGCCUGUGUCAUGGCCUGCCUUCCCUAGAUAUUGUCCUAAUGUGAGCAUCACACCUAAGGUACUGAAGUAGAGUUCUGGCUGUUCCUUACGGACAUCUCUGGUGGACCUCCAUCUGUUUUUGAUACAAGUCAGUCU
This 561-nucleotide long non-coding RNA is filed under the name Homo sapiens (human). Its description in RNAcentral is "non-protein coding LINC00882:36". Lineage: Eukaryota; Metazoa; Chordata; Mammalia; Primates; Hominidae. The record is from RNAcentral.